Oncorhynchus tshawytscha (Chinook salmon) is the source of this 336-nucleotide long non-coding RNA. NCBI's taxonomy places the organism in Eukaryota, Metazoa, Chordata, Actinopteri, Salmoniformes, Salmonidae. The record is from Ensembl.
GAGGUAAGGCUUGAGGUUAGGGUUGGAGUAAGGGUUGAGGCUAGAGCUGAGGUAAGGCUUGAGGUUAGGGUUGGAGUAAGGGUUGAGGCUAGAGCUGAGGUAAGGCUUGAGGUUAGGGUUGGAGUUAGAGUUGAGGCUAGAGCUGAGGUAAGGCUUGAGGUUAGGGUUGGAGUAAGGGUUGAGGUUAGGGUUGGAGUAAGGGUUGAGGUUAGGGUUGGAGUAAGGGUUGAGGUUAGAGCUGGGGUAAGGGUUGAGGUUAGAGCUGGGGUAAGGGUUGAGGUUAGGGUUGGAGUUAGGGUUGAGGUAAGGGUUGAGGUUAGGGUUGGAGUUAGGGCU